RNAcentral lists this ribosomal RNA (407 nucleotides) under uncultured bacterium. RNAcentral's name for it is "bacterial SSU rRNA". It matches the Rfam family "Bacterial small subunit ribosomal RNA", at positions 8 to 419 of the family's 1533-position model. The record is from RNAcentral.
AGAGUUUGAUCCUGGCUCAGAUUGAACGCUGGCGGCAUGCCUUACACAUGCAAGUCGAACGGUAACAGCACUUCGGUGGCUGACGAGUGGCGAACGGGUGAGUAAUACAUCGGAACGUGCCCGAGAGUGGGGGAUAACGCAGCGAAAGCUGUGCUAAUACCGCAUACGAUCUACGGAUGAAAGCAGGGGACCGCAAGGCCUUGCGCUCACGGAGCGGCCGAUGGCAGAUUAGGUAGUUGGUGGGAUAAAAGCUUACCAAGCCGACGAUCUGUAGCUGGUCUGAGAGGACGACCAGCCACACUGGGACUGAGACACGGCCCAGACUCCUACGGGAGGCAGCAGUGGGGAAUUUUGGACAAUGGGCGGAAGCCUGAUCCAGCCAUGCCGCGUGCAGGAUGAAGGCCUUC